UACCCCGAGGAGAAGAAAUCAACCGAGAUUCCGGUAGUAGCGGCGAGCGAACCUGGAUUAGCCCUUAAGCACUCGGUGAAGUAGGUGAACAAGCUGGAAAGCUUGGCGAUACAGGGUGAUAGCCCCGUAACCGACGCUUCAUCGAGCGUGAAAUCGAGUAGGGCGGGACACGUGAUAUCCUGUCUGAAUAUGGGGGGACCAUCCUCCAAGGCUAAAUACUCCUGACUGACCGAUAGUGAACCAGUACCGUGAGGGAAAGGCGAAAAGAACCCCUGUGAGGGGAGUGAAAUAGAACCUGAAACCGUGUACGUACAAGCAGUAGGAGCACCUUCGUGGUGUGACUGCGUACCUUUUGUAUAAUGGGUCAGCGACUUAUAUUCAGUGGCAAGGUUAACCGUAUAGGGGAGCCGUAGCGAAAGCGAGUCUUAACUGGGCGCUCAGUCUCUGGAUAUAGACCCGAAACCGGGUGAUCUAGCCAUGGGCAGGUUGAAGGUUGAGUAACAUCAACUGGAGGACCGAACCGACUAAUGUUGAAAAAUUAGCGGAUGACUUGUGGCUAGGGGUGAAAGGCCAAUCAAACUCGGAGAUAGCUGGUUCUCCCCGAAAGCUAUUUAGGUAGCGCCUCGGACGAAUACUACUGGGGGUAGAGCACUGUUAAGGCUAGGGGGUCAUCCCGACUUACCAACCCUUUGCAAACUCCGAAUACCAGUAAGUACUAUCCGGGAGACACACGGCGGGUGCUAACGUCCGUCGUGGAGAGGGAAACAACCCAGACCGCCAGCUAAGGUCCCAAAGUAUUGCUAAGUGGGAAACGAUGUGGGAAGGCUCAGACAGCUAGGAUGUUGGCUUAGAAGCAGCCAUCAUUUAAAGAAAGCGUAAUAGCUCACUAGUCGAGUCGGCCUGCGCGGAAGAUGUAACGGGGCUAAGCA
RNAcentral lists this ribosomal RNA (929 nucleotides) under Vibrio cholerae. Its description in RNAcentral is "partial 23S ribosomal RNA". It matches the Rfam family "Bacterial large subunit ribosomal RNA", at positions 207 to 1188 of the family's 2925-position model. Lineage: Bacteria; Pseudomonadati; Pseudomonadota; Gammaproteobacteria; Vibrionales; Vibrionaceae. The record is from RNAcentral.